GAUGAACGCUGGCGGCGUGCCUAAUACAUGCAAGUCGAGCGAACAGACGAGGAGCUUGCUCCUCUGACGUUAGCGGCGGACGGGUGAGUAACACGUGGAUAACCUACCUAUAAGACUGGGAUAACUUCGGGAAACCGGAGCUAAUACCGGAUAAUAUAUUGAACCGCAUGGUUCAAUAGUGAAAGACGGUUUUGCUGUCACUUAUAGAUGGAUCCGCGCCGGAUUAGCUAGUUGGUAAGGUAACGGCUUACCAAGGCAACGAUGCGUAGCCGCCCUGAGAGGGUGAUCGGCCACACUGGAACUGAGACACGGUCCAGACUCCUACGGGAGGCAGCAGUAGGGAAUCUUCCGCAAUGGGCGAAAGCCUGACGGAGCAACGCCGCGUGAGUGAUGAAGGUCUUCGGAUCGUAAAACUCUGUUAUUAGGGAAGAACAAAUGUGUAAGUAACUAUGCACGUCUUGACGGUACCUAAUCAGAAAGCCACGGCUAACUACGUG
This 497-nucleotide ribosomal RNA is filed under the name uncultured bacterium. RNAcentral describes it as "partial 16S ribosomal RNA". It matches the Rfam family "Bacterial small subunit ribosomal RNA", at positions 28 to 507 of the family's 1533-position model. The record is from RNAcentral.